CCUACGGGAGGCAGCAGUGAGGAAUAUUGGUCAAUGGACGAGAGUCUGAACCAGCCAAGUAGCGUGAAGGAUGACUGCCCUAUGGGUUGUAAACUUCUUUUAUAUGGGAAUAAAAUGUUCCACGUGUGGGAUUUUGUAUGUACCAUAUGAAUAAGGAUCGGCUAACUCCGUGCCAGCAGCCGCGGUAAUACGGAGGAUCCGCGCGUUAUCCGGAUUUAUUGGGUUUAAAGGGAGCGUAGGUGGAUUGUUAAGUCAGUUGUGAAAGUUUGCGGCUCAACCGUAAAAUUGCAGUUGAAACUGGCAGUCGUGAGUACAGUAGAGGUGGGCGGAAUUCGUGGUGUAGCGGUGAAAUGCUUAGAUAGCACGAAGAACUCCGAUUGCGAAGGCAGCUCACUGGACUGCAACUGACACUGAGGCUCGAAAGUGUGGGUAUCAAACAGGAUUAGAUACCCCAGUAGUC
Molecule: ribosomal RNA, 460 nt
Filed under: uncultured bacterium
Lineage: Bacteria
Description: partial 16S ribosomal RNA
Rfam family: Bacterial small subunit ribosomal RNA
Source: RNAcentral